This 91-nucleotide microRNA precursor is filed under the name Canis lupus familiaris (dog). Its description in RNAcentral is "mir-8799 microRNA precursor family". It matches the Rfam family "mir-8799 microRNA precursor family". The record is from Rfam by way of RNAcentral. RNAcentral also lists the same sequence under 1 other name. Lineage: Eukaryota; Metazoa; Chordata; Mammalia; Carnivora; Canidae.
UGGGAGCACAGGAUCUUGGGCUGUGUCCCCCAGUGCCCUGUGCUCCCGGGGCUGCGCUGCUGGAAUCGCACUCCCGGCCGCGCAGCUCCCU